Molecule: long non-coding RNA, 1611 nt
Organism: Cicer arietinum (chickpea)
Lineage: Eukaryota; Viridiplantae; Streptophyta; Magnoliopsida; Fabales; Fabaceae
Source: RefSeq, a predicted model, not a curated record
UUCAAUUGUAUUGUUCUUGUUUCUUAUUUCUUAAUUUCUCUUUCAAAUCGCAGGAACCCUAACUUACAUCUGGCAAGUCUAAGUGCAAUUUCAGAUAAUUUCUUAAUUUUCUUCUGAAUAUCUACUUAAGUUUUGUGUGUUUUGUUUUCUAAACAUUUGCUUUGGUUCUAGAUACGGUGUUUUAGUGAGAUUGGAUUGUUUUGCUUUCAUGCUUGAAAGUAAGAAAAUUAUGUUAAGCUUUAGCAAAUUUUGAGAGGCUAGACAAAUUUUCAUAUGUCAAACAAUGUGAAUUAAAUAGAAUUCCUUGUGUUUCCAUAAGAAUUCAAGGGCAGGGUACUGCUUAGUGGGUCUUUGUAAGUAUUGAAUUUGUUGACCCUACCAUUAUUUGUAAAAUCAUCAGAGUUGAGCUUUUGAUUUGUGCUGAGUGGUGGCAUCCGAAAUAUGUUCUUUCUAAUUUUGCAAGUUGCUACAUUUCACUAAUAAGAGUCUCAUACCAUUCAUCCAGCUCUUCCCUCAAAAUAGCCACUUAGAUUUCCGAGCAUGAAUAACCUAACUAUGUUUACUUAUCUGUUGCAAUUUAUCUUUGUGUUUGUGGAAACUGACAGCGAAGAUAUUGGGAAGCCUAUUUCAGAAUACUUUGGUGUUAGUCGAAGUGAUCCAAAAGCACUUGCAUACACCAGAAAUACGUGCUUGAGAGUGAGGUGACUCUUGACAAUAUCAAGACAAAAGAAGAAUAAGAAGAAUGUUUUUCAAUUGAAAUUGAUGAGAACAAUCAAUGUUGGCAGGAUUACUUUGCUCAUGAAUCUGCCAAGGUAAAGCUGAAACACAUUAAUAUCUUCAAAAUCCUAAUGUAAAUAUACAUAUUAUUUGCAAUAUUGUUCCAGCACUAUAGAAUUAUAGUUGAUAAGUUCUUCAUUCUUGCCUUGUUGCAGAAUCAAGAAGUUUUUCAUCUCAACUAGCUUGUGAUACUAAUCAUUUAGCAAGUGAACUAAAAAUUAAUCAACAAGCAAAAUGUACACAAGGAUAAUUUAUAAUUUCACCUUAUUAAACAUUGUCUAGCCAACUUUAAGGACCAAAAACAAAAUUAUCUAGCCAACCAGAUUCAAAACAUGACCUUACAUUUAAGAGUAGUAGAAUGAUUAUAUAUGUUAACAAUUAUGAAAUUUAAAAUAAAAAAAAUAAAAAAACUACAUAUAAUUGGUCUCUAAUUUGUAGAAUAUGCACAAAAGAAUGACGUGAAAAAUGUACAAAUCGAAUGUCAAUGCACAAAACUCUGAGACCAGAUUAGCAUGAUUUUGAGGUUGCAAAUGAGAGAAGAAGAUGAUAGUGACAAGGACUUGAUGAUAAUUGAUAGGUGUCGUUGCUAACAAUUAAUGGACUUGGAUCUACCAUUGAUAUGCCAUUGCUAUACUUGGAUCUGCCAUUGCCCGCUUAAUGGACUUGAAUCUGUCAUUGCUAUACCUGGGACUUUUCUUUAUUCACAAGCGACAACUUCAAAGAAAGCAAAGAAAAUUGAAGUUGAAAACAGUAGUUAGAGGAAAUGUUAGAAAGAAGAUGAAAACUAUUUUUGAUUAUUUGAGUUAUAGUUUUAGUCAUGCUGGGAUUUUUCAA